CCAUUUAGAGGAAGUAAAAGUCGUAACAAGGUCUCCGUUGGUGAACCAGCGGAGGGAUCAUUACCGAGUUUACAACUCCCAAACCCCUGUGAACAUACCACUUGUUGCCUCGGCGGAUCAGCCCGCUCCCGGUAAAACGGGACGGCCCGCCAGAGGACCCCUAAACUCUGUUUCUAUAUGUAACUUCUGAGUAAAACCAUAAAUAAAUCAAAACUUUCAACAACGGAUCUCUUGGUUCUGGCAUCGAUGAAGAACGCAGCAAAAUGCGAUAAGUAAUGUGAAUUGCAGAAUUCAGUGAAUCAUCGAAUCUUUGAACGCACAUUGCGCCCGCCAGUAUUCUGGCGGGCAUGCCUGUUCGAGCGUCAUUUCAACCCUCAAGCACAGCUUGGUGUUGGGACUCGCGUUAAUUCGCGUUCCCCAAAUUGAUUGGCGGUCACGUCGAGCUUCCAUAGCGUAGUAGUAAAACCCUCGUUACUGGUAAUCGUCGCGGCCACGCCGUUAAACCCCAACUUCUGAAUGUUGACCUCGGAUCAGGUAGGAAUACCCGCUGAACUUAAGCAUAUCAAUAAGCCGGG
RNAcentral lists this ribosomal RNA (575 nucleotides) under Fusarium sp. PSU-ES115. RNAcentral describes it as "eukaryotic LSU rRNA". The stretch from base 212 to 365 matches the Rfam family "5.8S ribosomal RNA". Lineage: Eukaryota; Fungi; Ascomycota; Sordariomycetes; Hypocreales; Nectriaceae. The record is from RNAcentral.